RNAcentral lists this ribosomal RNA (459 nucleotides) under uncultured bacterium. RNAcentral describes it as "bacterial SSU rRNA". It matches the Rfam family "Bacterial small subunit ribosomal RNA", at positions 29 to 506 of the family's 1533-position model. The record is from RNAcentral.
AUGAACGCUGGCGGCGUGCUUAACACAUGCAAGUCGAACGAGGUCCAACCUUCGGGUGAAGACCGAGUGGCGAACGGGUGAGUAACGCGUGGGGAACCUGCCCAUCUCUCUGGGAUAACUCCGGGAAAUCGGAGCUAAUACCGGAUACUCCUUGCGGAUCGCAUGGUCUGCUUGGGAAAGCUACGGCGGAGAAGGAUGGCCCCGCGGCCCAUUAGCUUGUUGGUGGGGUAAUGGCCCACCAAGGCGACGAUGGGUAGCCGGGCUGAGAGGAUGAUCGGCCACACUGGGACUGAGACACGGCCCAGACUCCUACGGGAGGCAGCAGUGGGGAAUCUUGCGCAAUGGGCGAAAGCCUGACGCAGCAACGCCGCGUGCGGGAUGAAGGCUCUCGGGCCGUAAACCGCUUUCAGCAGGGAUGAAAAUGACAGUACCUGCAGAAGAAGCCCCGGCUAAAUACGU